Molecule: ribosomal RNA, 437 nt
Filed under: uncultured bacterium
Lineage: Bacteria
Description: bacterial SSU rRNA
Rfam family: Bacterial small subunit ribosomal RNA
Source: RNAcentral
CCUACGGGGGGCAGCAGUGGGGAAUAUUGGGCAAUGGGCGCAAGCCUGACCCAGCAACGCCGCGUGAAGGAAGAAGGCUUUCGGGUUGUAAACUUCUUUUAUCAGGGACGAAUCAAGUGACGGUACCUGAUGAAUAAGCCACGGCUAACUACGUGCCAGCAGCCGCGGUAAUACGUAGGUGGCGAGCGUUAUCCGGAUUUACUGGGUGUAAAGGGCGUGUAGGCGGGCUUGCAAGUCAGAUGUGAAAUUCCACGGCUCAACCGUGGAACUGCAUUUGAAACUGUAGGUCUUGAGUGCUGGAGAGGCAAUCGGAAUUCCGUGUGUAGCGGUGAAAUGCGUAGAUAUACGGAGGAACACCAGUGGCGAAGGCGGAUUGCUGGACAGUAACUGACGCUGAGGCGCGAAAGCGUGGGGAGCAAACAGGAUUAGAUACCCUU